GGGGAAUCUUGCGCAAUGGCCGAAAGGCUGACGCAGCGACGCCGCGUGCGGGAUGACGGUCUUCGGAUUGUAAACCACUGUCGGGAGGGACGAAGUUCUGACGGUACCUCCAAAGGAAGCACCGGCUAACUCUGUGCCAGCAGCCGCGGUAAUACAGAGGGUGCGAGCGUUGUCCGGAAUCACUGGGCGUAAAGGGCGCGUAGGCGGCCUGGUAAGUCGGGGGUGAAACGCUGCGGCUCAACCGCAGCACUGCCUUCGAGACUGUCAGGCUGGAGCACGGUAGAGGCUGGUGGAAUUCCCGGUGUAGCGGUGGAAUGCGUAGAGAUCGGGAAGAACAUCGGUGGCGAAGGCGGCCAGCUGGGCCGUUGCUGACGCUGAGGCGCGACAGCGUGGGGAGCAAACA
RNAcentral lists this ribosomal RNA (403 nucleotides) under uncultured bacterium. Its description in RNAcentral is "bacterial SSU rRNA". It matches the Rfam family "Bacterial small subunit ribosomal RNA", at positions 356 to 774 of the family's 1533-position model. The record is from RNAcentral.